Thalassophryne amazonica is the source of this 287-nucleotide long non-coding RNA. RefSeq lists it as uncharacterized. NCBI's taxonomy places the organism in Eukaryota, Metazoa, Chordata, Actinopteri, Batrachoidiformes, Batrachoididae. The transcript has 2 exons. The record is from RefSeq and is a predicted model, not a curated record.
UGGAUGAGUACUAACGACCAGCAACAGUGUCCAAAAGUAAUCACUCAGUGCCCUGAUCUAGAAGAAGAAGAUGGAUGGAUGGAGAUAAAGUGGGACAUGAAAGGCAGGAAAGUCACAGCCAGCCUUUUUCCCAGCAAAGGUUUUGAUGGUUGGUGACAACUACAGUGAUCUCUGCAAGAAGAGACAGGAAUUCAUAAAGGGUGAAGACAUCUGGCAAGAAGCAAACAAAAGGAAGAGUAAGCCGAACAGCAAGUGGAAAGAUGUGGAAGAGGAUCAUGAAGUACCAU